This 497-nucleotide ribosomal RNA is filed under the name uncultured bacterium. RNAcentral's name for it is "partial 16S ribosomal RNA". It matches the Rfam family "Bacterial small subunit ribosomal RNA", at positions 28 to 507 of the family's 1533-position model. The record is from RNAcentral.
GAUGAACGCUGGCGGCGUGCCUAAUACAUGCAAGUCGAGCGAACGGACGAGAAGCUUGCUUCUCUGAUGUUAGCGGCGGACGGGUGAGUAACACGUGGAUAACCUACCUAUAAGACUGGGAUAACUUCGGGAAACCGUAGCUAAUACCGGAUAAUAUUUUGAACCGCAUGGUUCAAAAGUGAAAGACGGUCUUGCUGUCACUUAUAGAUGGAUCCGCGCUGCAUUAGCUAGUUGGUAAGGUAACGGCUUACCAAGGCAACGAUGCAUAGCCGACCUGAGAGGGUGAUCGGCCACACUGGAACUGAGACACGGUCCAGACUCCUACGGGAGGCAGCAGUAGGGAAUCUUCCGCAAUGGGCGAAAGCCUGACGGAGCAACGCCGCGUGAGCGAUGAAGGUCUUCGGAUCGUAAAACUCUGUUAUUAGGGAAGAACAUAUGUGUAAGUAACUGUGCACACCUUGACGGUACCUAAUCAGAAAGCCACGGCUAACUACGUG